This 598-nucleotide ribosomal RNA is filed under the name Vryburgia transvaalensis. Its description in RNAcentral is "partial 28S ribosomal RNA". It matches the Rfam family "Eukaryotic large subunit ribosomal RNA", at positions 594 to 865 of the family's 3401-position model. Lineage: Eukaryota; Metazoa; Arthropoda; Insecta; Hemiptera; Pseudococcidae. The record is from RNAcentral.
CGUAACCUUUGUACGGACGUCGCGACCCGUUCGGUGUCGGUCUUCAGGAGACGUGUGAAAGUUUGUGGGCGCGUGUCGGUCGUUUCGGCGGUUCGGCGCGCGUUCGCGAGUACGCGUUUUUUUCUGGCCGACUCGCCGGACGGUAUGCGAAACGGUGACCGCGGCGGCCUUUCGAGCGCCGUCGCACUGUGGUACCGGUCUGCGACGAAUCUUCGGGCCUCUUUCCGACCCGUCUUGAAACACGGACCAAGGAGUCUAACGUGCGCGCGAGUCGCGGGGUGUCGAGCGGUUGGCGGCGCGUGUUCGCGCGCGUCGUCGGCCGUUCGUUACAAUACGAAACCCGUCUCGUUUUACGAAAGGCGCAAUGAAAGUGAAUUUAGGGGAAGAUGACGUUACCGAGUUCACGUUCCGCGCUCUCGAAGCGCGGCCGGUCGUCCGCAUUCCCAGGGCGUCCCAAUGGCCCGGCGGCGUUGCGGAUCGUCGGCCCUUCGGGGUCGGCGGUCGGGCGUCGUCGAACCGGGGCGCACCUAUAGCGUGCACGUUGGUACCCGAAAGAUGGUGAACUAUGCCCGGCCAGGAUGAAGUCAGGGGAAACCCU